AGGGGUAUAGCUUAGUGGUAGAGCACAUGCUUAACAUGCAUGAGGUCCUGGGUUCAAUCCCCAGUACCCCCA
Molecule: transfer RNA, 72 nt
Filed under: Camelus dromedarius (Arabian camel)
Lineage: Eukaryota; Metazoa; Chordata; Mammalia; Artiodactyla; Camelidae
Also listed under: 1 other name
Rfam family: tRNA
About the family: Transfer RNA (tRNA) molecules are approximately 80 nucleotides in length.
Source: Rfam by way of RNAcentral